Molecule: ribosomal RNA, 506 nt
Filed under: uncultured bacterium
Lineage: Bacteria
Description: partial 16S ribosomal RNA
Rfam family: Bacterial small subunit ribosomal RNA
Source: RNAcentral
AGUGAACGCUGGCGGUAGGCCUAACACAUGCAAGUCGAACGGCAGCACAGGAGAGCUUGCUCUCUGGGUGGCGAGUGGCGGACGGGUGAGGAAUACAUCGGAAUCUACUCUGUCGUGGGGGAUAACGUAGGGAAACUUACGCUAAUACCGCAUACGACCUACGGGUGAAAGCAGGGGACCUUCGGGCCUUGCGCGAUUGAAUGAGCCGAUGUCGGAUUAGCUAGUUGGCGGGGUAAAGGCCCACCAAGGCGACGAUCCGUAGCUGGUCUGAGAGGAUGAUCAGCAACACUGGAACUGGGACACGGUCCAGACUCCUACGGGAGGAAGCAGUGGGGAAUAUUGGACAAUGGGCGCAAGCCUGAUCCAGCCAUACCGCGUGGGUGAAGAAGGCCUUCGGGUUGUAAAGCCCUUUUGUUGGGAAAGAAAUCCAGCUGGCUAAUACCCGGUUGGGAUGACGGUACCCAAAGAAUAAGCACCGGCUAACUUCGUGCCAGCCGCCGCCGUAA